GGGAGGCAGCAGUGGGGAAUCUUGCACAAUGGGCGAAAGCCUGAUGCAGCCAUGCCGCGUGAAUGAUGAAGGCCUUAGGGUUGUAAAAUUCUUUCGCUAGGGAUGAUAAUGACAGUACCUAGUAAAGAAGCCCCGGCUAACUUCGUGCCAGCAGCCGCGGUAAUACGAAGGGGGCUAGCGUUGUUCGGAAUUACUGGGCGUAAAGCGCGCGUAGGCGGACUGGAAAGUUGGGGGUGAAAUCCCAGGGCUCAACCCUGGAACUGCCUCCAAAACUAUCAGUCUAGAGUUCGAGAGAGGUGAGUGGAAUUCCGAGUGUAGAGGUGAAAUUCGUAGAUAUUCGGAAGAACACCAGUGGCGAAGGCGGCUCACUGGCUCGAUACUGACGCUGAGGUGCGAAAGUGUGGGGAGCAAACAGGAUUAGAUACCCUGGUAGUCCACACCGUAAACGAUGAAUGCCAGUCGUCGGGUAGCAUGCUAUUCGGUGACACACCUAACGGAUUAAGCAUUCCGCCUGGGGAGUACGGUCGCAAGAUUAAAACUCAA
This 543-nucleotide ribosomal RNA is filed under the name uncultured Vexilliferidae. RNAcentral describes it as "partial Bacterial small subunit ribosomal RNA". It matches the Rfam family "Bacterial small subunit ribosomal RNA", at positions 343 to 904 of the family's 1533-position model. The record is from RNAcentral. Lineage: Eukaryota; Discosea; Flabellinia; Dactylopodida; Vexilliferidae.